Molecule: ribosomal RNA, 251 nt
Filed under: uncultured bacterium
Lineage: Bacteria
Description: partial small subunit ribosomal RNA
Rfam family: Bacterial small subunit ribosomal RNA
Source: RNAcentral
AGAGCGAACGCUGGCGGCGUGCUUAACACAUGCAAGUCGAGCGGAAAGGCCCUUCGGGGUACUCGAGCGGCGAACGGGUGAGUAACACGUGAGCAAUCUGCCUUUAGCUCUGGGAUAGCUCCGGGAAACCGGGAUUAAUACCGGAUAAGACCACUUUAGACAUCUGUUGUGGUGGAAAGAAUUUCGGCUAGAGAUGAGCUCGCGGCCUAUCAGCUUGUGGUGGGUAACGGCCCACAAGGCGACGACGGGUA